RNAcentral lists this ribosomal RNA (301 nucleotides) under uncultured bacterium. RNAcentral describes it as "partial 16S ribosomal RNA". It matches the Rfam family "Bacterial small subunit ribosomal RNA", at positions 509 to 807 of the family's 1533-position model. The record is from RNAcentral.
CAGUAGCCGCGGGAAAACGUAGGGUGCAAGCGUUGUCCGGAAUCAUUGGGCGUAAAGCGCGCGUAGGUGGUCAUGUAAGUCCGCUGUGAAAGUCAAAGGCUCAACCUUUGAAAGCCGGUGGAUACUGCAUGACUAGAGUACGGAAGAGGCGAGUGGAAUUCCUGGUGUAGCGGUGGAAUGCGCAGAUAUCAGGAGGAACACCAAUAGCGAAGGCAGCUCGCUGGGACGUUACUGAUACUGAGGCGCGAAAGCGUGGGGAGCGAACAGGAUUAGAGACCCCGGUAGUCCCUGUCUCUUAUAC